UGGGGAAUCUUGCGCAAUGGGCGAAAGCCUGACGCAGCAACGCCGCGUGUGUGAUGAAGGUCUUCGGAUCGUAAAGCACUGUCGCGAGGGACGAAUAAGGGGCGGGCUAACAUCCCGUUCCGAUGACGGUACCUCGAAAGGAAGCACCGGCUAACUCUGUGCCAGCAGCCGCGGUAAUACAGAGGGUGCAAGCGUUGUUCGGAAUUAUUGGGCGUAAAGCGCGUGUAGGCGGCCUAGCAUGUCGGGUGUGAAAGCCCUCGGCUUAACCGAGGAAGUGCGCCCGAAACUACUAGGCUUGAGUACCGGAGAGGGUGGCGGAAUUCCCGGUGUAGAGGUGAAAUUCGUAGAUAUCGGGAGGAACACCAGCGGCGAAGGCGGCCACCUGGACGGAUACUGACGCUGAGACGCGAAAGCGUGGGGAGCAAACAGGAUUAGAUACCUUGGUAGUCCACGCCCUAAACGAUGUCGACUGGUUGUUGGGGGUUUGACGACUCUCAGUAACGAAGCUAACG
RNAcentral lists this ribosomal RNA (512 nucleotides) under uncultured Pseudomonadota bacterium. RNAcentral's name for it is "bacterial SSU rRNA". It matches the Rfam family "Bacterial small subunit ribosomal RNA", at positions 355 to 857 of the family's 1533-position model. The record is from RNAcentral. Lineage: Bacteria; Pseudomonadati; Pseudomonadota.